RNAcentral lists this ribosomal RNA (450 nucleotides) under uncultured bacterium. RNAcentral's name for it is "bacterial SSU rRNA". It matches the Rfam family "Bacterial small subunit ribosomal RNA", at positions 328 to 794 of the family's 1533-position model. The record is from RNAcentral.
UUGCCAGACUCCUACGGGAGGCAGCAGUGGGGAAUAUUGGACAAUGGGGGGAACCCUGAUCCAGCGACGCCGCGUGGGUGAAGGAGUAUUUCGGUAUGUAAAGCCCUAUCAGCAGGGAAGAACAAUGACGGUACCUGACUAAGAAGCACCAGCUAAAUACGUGCCAGCAGCCGCGGUAAUACGUAUGGUGCAAGCGUUAUCCGGAUUUACUGGGUGUAAAGGGAGCGCAGGCGGCGCGUUAAGCCUGGUGUGAAAGCCCGCGGCCCAACCGCGGGACUGCAUUGGGAACUGGCGCGCUGGAGUGCCGGAGGGGUAGGCGGAAUUCCUAGUGUAGCGGUGAAAUGCGUAGAUAUCAGGAGGAACACCAGUGGCGAAGGCGGCCUGCUGGACGAUGACUGACGCUGAGGCUCGAAAGCGUGGGGAGCAAACAGGAUUAGAUACCCGUGUAAU